UCACUUGAUCUAGACGCUCACACUUGACGAGCUUCCAUUUGGAACGUCACAGCUUCCGAGAUUUAUUCAAGGAUUGUCGAGUGUGUGCGACUGUACCAGGCGCUGGGAGAUGGAGAUGGAAACAGCAUUUGUUCGCCCGAAGCCAACAGCCUAGCAGGGAAGGCAGGCGACUGAACAUACUAUUAGAACGGGGUGCUGAGUAUAAUAGUAAGCUUCUCUGUGAGGCAUCCAGGUAACUGAAAUGAAUCUGGGUUAAUUCUCCCUGGGCCAUCAUCAAAAAUGACGUGGUGACUAUGUUUUAAGUUGGGCCAUGAAAAGACACCGAAAGGAUGCUUUGGCUUGCAGCUGGCCUGAGCCCACUCCAGAAUGUCUGUGCGCUGCAGGCACCUUCUACAGUGUGUCACUGCCGACUUCAGGACUCGGGGGCCCAGGGAAAGACGGUGGUGUCACCCAGAGUGCUAUUUCAGAAGGGAUUGAUGUCGUUCUCAUGGGCUUCCAGUCGGUUGUCACCAACGCGUGAAAAGGCUUGUGCCUCUUGCUUCCUUGACUUACAAUGCGAUUGCUGCCACCAUAACGGGGUCUGUAGGGAUGAAGCCAGAGAUGACAGAUCCUAGCGCCAUGCUCUGGACAUGCGCAGCUGUGAUUUCUCUUCUAGGUAAACCACCACGCGUCAGGUAUUUGUUACAGCGGCCCACAGUGGCCCAAGGGAGCAGUGAAAGGAGGCAGAAAACCAUCUGCACAGAGGUUAGAAUAUAUACACAUACAACGCUUCGGAGAGAGACACUGUGCUGCAUACGUCGGCAAGGUUCUUUUGCUGAAUCUGGGGCUUGCUGAUUCGGUUUGACUGGCUGGCCAGCAAGUCCCAGGAAUCCUCCACCUUCCCAGUGCUGAGAUUAUGGGUUCAUGCCAUGGGAACAUGCUUGGAGCUUACCACUCACAUGGCAAGUACUGUACCGGUUGAACCGUCUCCCCGGCGCUGGUAAAUACUUCUUUUGUUUUCUCACUAUGCUGCCCUGGCUGGCCUGGAACUCUCUAUGUAGACGUGCCUGGCCAACAACUCAGAGAUCGACCUGCCUCUGCCUUCAGAGUGCUGGAAUUAAAGGCGUGCGCCACCACACCAGCCUCCCUGGAUGUGGUGGGAAAGCUAGGCAUGGCUUACCCAGCUUUAUUUGGUAGGUUCAAGGGACUUGAGAAGGGGAAUGUUACCUCAGUAGGCAGAGGAUGACAGGGGAAGGGAGAUCGAGGAAGCUUAAUUACCUCUUCCUCAAGAGCCCUGCCUGGAGACGCUGGCCCGGCCCAAGGCAGCUAUUGGGGAUAAAGGAAGAAUGCCUGGACCACACAUCCCACCCACUGCCCCCCCCCCAGGUAGCUCCUGCGUGCCCAGAGUCACUUCACUCCAAGCCCAUCUCCACCUUUCGUACUGCCACACGCUGGCCUAGUUGUACAUUCUAGAGAAUUCCAGACACGACAGCUCCUGGGAUAUCAGGGUUUGCUCUAGAGAAUUUCAGGCACGACAGCUCCUGGGAUAUCAGGGUUUGCUCUAGAGAAUUCCAGACACGACAGCUCCUGGGAUAUCAGGGUUUGCUCAGGCUUGAUUGCCGUCAGCAGCUCCCAGAUCAAAUAUUUAUAUUCCUUCAGCAAGCUAAGAAGCAGACAAGGCCUAUGCUACAAAAGCUCUUCAGACUUCUUGUUAUAAACAUUCAAAGUGAGAAGGUGAAGCAAGGUCUUCUUAGAGAGGGGAAAUGACGGAAAGAGUUUGCUUUUUAAAUUCUUCCUCUAGACAGAAGGACAUAAUCAAAAAACCCUGCUGAGCUGCGAGGCUCACGCAUGCUAGGCAGGCACUCUCAAUGAACCACACCUUUAACUCAGUUCUCUACUGUUUUGACUUGGUUUUGCCUGUGUGAGUGCACGUGCAUUCAGGCGUAUAUCUCCAAGUGUGUGUGCACGUGGAGGAGGAACUCGGUGUCUGAUGGCAGGGUCUCUCACUUGAACCCAGAACUUGUAGCUUUGACUGGUUCAGCUAUCCACCCUUCCUCUCGGAGCCUGCUCUGCCCUCGACAUCUUGGAAAUACAGUGACAGAUCACGGGUGGCCUGUGAGAAGUGGUUACAUGGCCUGCCUUUUGCCCUGAAGAUUCUUCUCUGGGAACAACACGAGAGAUGUGCACUGCACCUUCUUGACUCCCAUCUACAGCUUUACAAAGGCCCUUUCAUCUCAAGAACAGGACGGAAAAGGUCCUGGGUCCUAGUUGACCAGAAGUCUGUUCACCUGGCAGACGGCAGUUUAAGCCCCAGAGUCCAGGGACAGGUAUAUUGGUGAGUUUUGUUGAGGAAAACAUAAUAACCACUUUUUAUUGUGAAGGUUUUCAAGCAGAAAAAAAAAGAGUGAAAUGCACUCUCAGUACUGCCCUAAGUACUGAUCAAGCACUUGCCACGCUGGCUUCACCCACCCUCUUUCUCUCAUCUUCUUCUCUUCUUCCGCCCCUUUCUAUUCCUCUUCCUGUCUUUGCUGCAGCAUUGUAAAGCAAAUCUCUUUACAACAGUUUGCUGUAUGUCAACAAUGCAAUGUAUGUGACACUGGGAAAAAAAUUAAACGUUUUACAUUUA
Molecule: long non-coding RNA, 2605 nt
Organism: Mesocricetus auratus (golden hamster)
Lineage: Eukaryota; Metazoa; Chordata; Mammalia; Rodentia; Cricetidae
Exons: 2
Source: RefSeq, a predicted model, not a curated record